AGGAAAGUAAGCUAAAUUUUAAGCUAAUGGGUUCAUACCCCAUUUAUAGAGUAACCAUCUCUCUUUCCUA
This 70-nucleotide transfer RNA is filed under the name Rhombodera sp. FY-2017. Its description in RNAcentral is "tRNA-Met". Lineage: Eukaryota; Metazoa; Arthropoda; Insecta; Mantodea; Mantidae. The record is from RNAcentral.